This 464-nucleotide ribosomal RNA is filed under the name uncultured bacterium. RNAcentral's name for it is "partial 16S ribosomal RNA". It matches the Rfam family "Bacterial small subunit ribosomal RNA", at positions 339 to 795 of the family's 1533-position model. The record is from RNAcentral.
CUACGGGUCGCAGCAGUGGGGAAUAUUGCACAAUGGGCGCAAGCCUGAUGCAGCCAUGCCGCGUGUAUGAAGAAGGCCUUCGGGUUGUAAAGUACUUUCAGCGGGGAGGAAGGGAGUAAAGUUAAUACCUUUGCUCAUUGACGUUACCCGCAGAAGAAGCACCGGCGAACUCCGUGCCAGCAGCCGCGGUAAUACGGAGGGUGCAAGCGUUAAUCGGAAUUACUGGGCGUAAAGCGCACGCAGGCGGUUUGUUAAGUCAGAUGUGAAAUCCCCGGGCUCAACCUGGGAACUGCAUCUGAUACUGGCAAGCUUGAGUCUCGUAGAGGGGGGUAGAAUUCCAGGUGUAGCGGUGAAAUGCGUAGAGAUCUGGAGGAAUACCGGUGGCGAAGGCGGCCCCCUGGACGAAGACUGGCGCUCAGGUGCGAAAGCGUGGGGAGCAAACAGGAUUAGAUACCCUAGUAGUC